CUUUUAAGGCCGCACCCACGGCAUACGGAGGGUCCCAGGCUAGGGGUCGAAUCAGAGCUGUUGCUGCCAGCCUACACCACAGCCACAGCAACAUGGGAUCCGAGCCACAUCUGAGACCUACACCACAGAUCACAGCAACACCAGAUCCUUUACCCUCUGAGCAAUGCCAGGGAUUGAAUCUGUGUCCUCAUGGAUGGUAGUCAGAUUCGUUUCUACUAAGCCAUGACGGGAACUCCGAGGAAUUUCUGGAUUCUGGUUGGGCUGGAUGCCCCCAAGUUUCAGGUCUCAGGUUGACCAGAGCAGUAGUAGAUCUGUUCCUCCUUAAGCCUCAGAAGAUAUGAGCUGAUAAACAAAGCUAAGAGUUGGUUAUGAAAAAAGAAAGAGGACACUUCUCUGCCAAACUUACUGUUCUUAUUUUGCAUCAUCACAGGAUGUUGAUUAUUUCAGGAUUCACAUCCAAGACUCUAUUGAAUAUAAACUAAUUAUUACCUCAAUCACUGCUAUUUAUAGUUACUUUGCCUCCAAGAAAUUUAGAGGAAGAUUUAAUUAAGUAAGAAGGCUUGACAAGGCAAUGUAUUUCUGAGAAGUUGUAGCAUGCUACAAAUGGCGACAUGAGGGCAAAUGCCAAUGGUUUUAUCCUCAAAUGAACUGUAAUAACUUCCCCGAAGUGCUCCCUUUGGAACUUCCAAUUGUUAUAAAAUGGAAUUUAUAAUUAAAUGAAGAAAUGAACACAGUGUGCUGAACUAAAAUGGAAGUCUAGGAAACUCCAACUUUUUUUUCAGUAUAAAUAAACACAAAGAAGGGAAUAAAAGAGAACUAAUAUUAUCCUAAAGUGUGUUGAGGACUUUCAUAGAUAAGAUAGUGUAUUAGACAAUUAUACUUUCAGCAUUUAAGGUAGAACUCACAAUGGUACAAUGAAGAAUGUUCAUUAAAUAAGUGGGAGAUUAAAGUAUUAAGUACAAUGGCAAUGUAUGCCAGUAAGUGGAUUUAUUAAAGGGGGAUGUGGGGAUAAAUAACAGCAAAUACUUUCCGCAGCCUAAGGCCAGACAUUGGAAAACAUAUCCAGGAAAAACUUACUUAUUUAUAAUCGAGGCCUUAGGGAUGACUAUGACUCUUCCAGGUACACUGUCAACUUGUCCACCUUUGCUCCAGGUUCUGUAUGUUCUCUCAUGAUGACUCAAAUACAUCUUGCCCCUGUUUCUAUGUCACCUUUGAUAUAAUCCAAAUAACAUUUUCUAUGGGUUUUUAAUUUAAAAUCAAGGAAAAUUCAGGCACCAUUAUAACCUAUUUAAAAAGAAAUCUGGCAUCGGAAUCAGAAAAUUGCUGUAAUCCUGCUACUUGGCAUUAUUAUUUUUGAUAAACCAUGCUUCAGUUUUCCCAACUAAAAAAAAGUAUAUUACUCUCUACCAUGAAGAGCUGUUAUACACAUUAGGCAUAACUCUGCUAAAUUUUUGCCCAGUACUUGGUAAAAGGCAAGAUCACAAUGUAUGGUAUCACUUAUUUUUAUUAUCUUUUGGAUCUGCCAUUCUUGGUCAAGUAUCAUCUAGUACAAAGGGUGAGUAUACAUGCCUGGAUUAUUGGCCAACUGGGGGACCGAUGUAGGACUAUCAGUGGUGGUCAGAAUAGUAGGGUCCUGGGAUAAACUGUACUAGCAAUGGCUGUCUAGCUGGGCUACUUAACAAAGUUCUAGGUUUCAGAUGUUAUCCUAAAGUGGGCUGGCACAAUCAUAGUUUUGCUAGUUCACUGUAGCAUCUCCAAAAAGACAACUGGUGGCAGGCUUGACCAGCUACAAUGAUUUCUUUGUAGAGAAUCUCAUCAGUGCAUAUGGUCCAAAGUUAGCAUAAUAGUUCACAAUUAAAUGUUUUACUGUAAAUCUUCCAACAAUUUUCUUUCUCUUUUGAAGAGAAAUUAUUAAUGGACUAAGUCCCACAAAUGAAAGAAUACCUCUUUGCUAAGUUUGAAACCCACUCCAAACUGACAAAUCGGAGCUUUGAAGGCUAAAUAAAAUGUUUUUGGAUUUUGCUAUCAUUUACCCAUAACCAAACCUAAUUUCCUAUUUUGGUGGAGAAAAUUAACACUAACCCUCAUUUGAAAAUCCCCAAAGAUUUUUUCAGAUACCGCAAGUCAUUUUCAGACCAAAAGCUGGAAGAACAAGCAUAAAUAAAUCAAGACAUGUGGGAUUUGUUUCCUUUUAAAAAUGUGCAUUAAUUUUUUUAAAAGUUCAGGCAAAGUCCAUUUGAAAACUUCUAAGAGUUGUACCAAGCCAAAGACGUGU
Molecule: long non-coding RNA, 2275 nt
Filed under: Sus scrofa (pig)
Lineage: Eukaryota; Metazoa; Chordata; Mammalia; Artiodactyla; Suidae
Description: lncRNA (ENSSSCG00030022779.1)
Source: RNAcentral